GACGAACGCUGGCGGCGUGCUUAACACAUGCAAGUCGAACGGAAAGGCCCUGCUUUUGUGGGGUGCUCGAGUGGCGAACGGGUGAGUAACACGUGAGUAACCUGCCCUUGACUUUGGGAUAACUUCAGGAAACUGGGGCUAAUACCGGAUAGGAGCUCCUGCUGCAUGGUGGGGGUUGGAAAGUUUCGGCGGUUGGGGAUGGACUCGCGGCUUAUCAGCUUGUUGGUGGGGUAGUGGCUUACCAAGGCUUUGACGGGUAGCCGGCCUGAGAGGGUGACCGGCGACAUUGGGACUGAGAGACGGCCCAGACUCCGACGGGAGGCAGCAGUGGGGAAUAUUGCACAAUGGGCGGAAGCCUGAUGCAGCAACGCCGCGUGCGGGAUGACGGCCUUCGGGUUGUAAACCGCUUUCGCCUGUGGCGAAGCGUGAGUGACGGUAAUGGGUAAAGAAGCACCGGCUAACUACGUGC
This 469-nucleotide ribosomal RNA is filed under the name uncultured bacterium. Its description in RNAcentral is "partial 16S ribosomal RNA". It matches the Rfam family "Bacterial small subunit ribosomal RNA", at positions 28 to 508 of the family's 1533-position model. The record is from RNAcentral.